UAUUGAUUGCGUGUGACCGCAAAAGAAAAACAUUCUACACUGUAUCGAGUUUUAUGUGAAAACGCAAGCCCUCCUGCAAAGGGGGGCCCACGCGGUGGUGCACAAAGGGGGUGAGAUGGAUGUGUGAGAAUGCUUUGAGCGUGCACAACCUUUGAAGGUCAGCGACAGCCCUUGCACCUCGGUUGUACGAUAAUGAUCCUUCCGCAGGUUCACCUACGGAAA
Molecule: unclassified non-coding RNA, 222 nt
Filed under: uncultured fungus
Lineage: Eukaryota; Fungi
Description: sequence contains ITS1
Source: RNAcentral